AGAGAAGCAUGGCUAGAAGUCACUUAAGAAAUAGCCCCAGCUUCUGACUUUCAAGCUAAACUCCUCCCCAGUUACCUAGCAACAUUAAAGACCAUAAAAAGGGUUGUUCAGCCCCUGCUUGCUCUCUUACUUCUUACUCUCUGUCUCUCUCUUCUUACCCCUCACUCUCCCCCUCUCUCCUCUGUGUCUUCUCUCCUCUCCUCUCUCCUCUCUCUGCUUCUCUCUCUCUCUCUCUCUCUCUCUCUCUCUCUCUCUCUCUCUCUCUCUCCCCUACCUUCUCUCUUUCCCCAUGCCUUUCUACAAUAAAGCUCUAGAGUCUCUGCUCAUCAAGAUCUGCUGCACUCACUCUGGUCAGUGUUGGGGACCUCUUCCCUCAUCCUUCUCUCCUAUAACCCUGGUGGCUUUAGCAAAGUAGCUCCGGGGUUCCCAGGUAGGGUUGCCUCUGGCCACCCUCUGAAGAGUGGCUCAGAGGCCUGAAUGCCCACCCAGGGAUGAGUGGAAGGUAGAUAGCAACUCGCCCAUACCUGACAGACCAGAGAAUAGUACUCUGAGAAGAAAUACCCUAAGUGCUGAACAGGAAAGUAGGAUAGAACUGAUAUCUGAAAGAUUCCACAUGGACUGAGCCACAGUAAAGACACCUGCAAGCACCAAGCAUCUAAGAGUCCACCUGCAGAGUUGAAACUAGGACACCUGUGUGGUUGUUAAAGCCUCAAACUCAGUGUCUAUAUGAGGAGAACGACCUUAAACGUAUGUUUCAGAGGACUGGGACUACAUGAGUGCACCAACAUGGCUGGUUUCUGUGAUGCUGCAAUCGAACCCAGGACUUCAUCCAUUCAAGGCAGUGACUCUAUCAACUGUUCUUCAUUCCCAGCACUAUUCCAUGGCAUGGUGCAUAACAUUGAUCCAGCUUCUGGAUCAAUUUCGCCAAUAUGAUUUGAUCCACCAUGUGGUUGAUGGAAAUUGAACUCAGGACCUCUGGAAGAACAGUCAGUGCUCUUACCCAAUGAGCCAUCUCUCCAGCCUCAGAAUCAGAAUUAUUUGGAAUCUGCAAACCUGAAGGUUGAUGGAAC
Molecule: long non-coding RNA, 1070 nt
Filed under: Mus musculus (house mouse)
Lineage: Eukaryota; Metazoa; Chordata; Mammalia; Rodentia; Muridae
Description: predicted gene, 40658
Source: RNAcentral